Molecule: ribosomal RNA, 501 nt
Filed under: uncultured bacterium
Lineage: Bacteria
Description: bacterial SSU rRNA
Rfam family: Bacterial small subunit ribosomal RNA
Source: RNAcentral
GAUGAACGCUAGCGGCAGGCCUAAUACAUGCAAGACGAACGGUAAGUUGAGUAGCAAUACUUAGCCAAGAGUGUCGUACGGGUGCGUAACACGUAUGCAACCUACCCUAUACAGGAGGAUAGCCUAGGGAAACCUGGAUUAACCCUUCAUAGUAUUAUUGGAUGGCAUCAUUUGAUAAUUAAAACUGAGGUGGUAUAGGAUGGGCAUGCGUCUGAUUAGUUAGUUGGCGGGGUAAUGGCCCACCAAGACGAUGAUCAGUAGGGGUUCUGAGAGGAAGAUCCCCCACACUGGCACUGAGAUACGGGCCAGACUCCUACGGGAGGCAGCAGUAGGGAAUAUUGGUCAAUGGAUGCAAGUCUGAACCAGCCAUGCCGCGUGCAGGAAGAAGGCCUUCUGGGUUGUAAACUGCUUUUGCCAGGGGAUAAAAUUUCCAUGCGUGGAAAACUGAAGGUACCUGGUGAAUAAGCCACGGCUAAACUACGUGCCAGCAGCCGCGGUAAU